Molecule: long non-coding RNA, 2199 nt
Filed under: Oncorhynchus mykiss (rainbow trout)
Lineage: Eukaryota; Metazoa; Chordata; Actinopteri; Salmoniformes; Salmonidae
Description: lncRNA (ENSOMYG00000068045.1)
Source: RNAcentral
AUGGCCUUCACACACUCUCAGGCCUACAGUGGUGUGUGUGCGCCUGACCACCACCCCCAUGGGUCAUGGUUCAAACAAAAAUGUGUGUGUCUGAACAUCAUUAAGCAGGCCAAAUACCUUUUUACCCCCACUCCUUUUAUGCUUCUUCCUCCCUCUCUCUCUCUUCCUCCCUCCUCCCUCUCUCUCUCUCGUCCUCCCUCCUCUCUCUCUCUUCCUCCCUCCUCUCUCUCUCUCUCUCUCUUCCUCCCUCCUCUCUCUCUCUCUCUUCCUCCCUCUUCUCUCUCUCCCUCUUUCGUUUCUUCCUCCCUCCUCUCUCACUCUUCCUCCCUCCUCUCUCUUCCUCCCUCCUCUCUCUCUUCCUCCCUCCUCUCUCUCUCUUCCUCCCUCUUCUCUCUCUCUUCCUCCCUCCUCUCUCUCUUCCGCCCUCCUCUCUCUCUUCCUCGCUCCUCUCUCUCUUCCUCCCUCCUCUCUCUCUUCCUCGCUCCUCUCUCUCUUCCUCCCUCCUCUCUCUCUUCCUCCCUCCUCUCUCUCUUCCUCCCUCCUCUCUCACUCUUCCUCCCUCCUCUCUCUCUUCCUCCCUCCUCUCUCUCUCUUCCUCCCUCCUCUCUCUCUCUUCCUCCCUCCUCUCUCUCUCGUCCUCCCUCCUCUCUCUCUCUUCCUCCCUCCUCUAUCUCUCUCUCUUCCUCCCUCCUCUCUCUCUUCCUCCCUCCUCUCUCUCUUCCUCCCUCCUCUCUCUCUCUUCCUCCCUCUUUCGUUUCUUCCUCCCUCCUCUCUCUCUCUUCCUCCCUCCUCUCUCUCUCUUCCUCCCUCCUCUCUCUCUUCCUCCAUCCUCUCUCUCUCUUCCUCCCUCCUCUCUCUCUCUUCCUCCAUCCUCUCUCACUCUUCCUCCCUCCUCUCUCUCUCUUCCCACCUCCUCUCUCACACUUCCUCCCUCCUCUCUCACUCUUCCUCCCUCCUCUCUCUCUCUUCCUCCCUCUUUCGUUUCUUCCUCCCUCCUCUCUCUCUUCCUCCCUCCUCUCUCUCUUCCUCCCUCCUCUCUCUCUCUUCCUCCCUCCUCUCUCACUCUUCCUCCCUCCUCUCUCUCUUCCUCCCUCCUCUCUCUCUCUUCCUCCCUCCUCUCUCUCUCUUCCUCCCUCCUCUCUCACUCUUCCUCCCUCCUCUCUCUCUCUUCCUCCCUCAUCUCUCACUCUUCCUCCCUCCUCUCUCUCUUCCUCCCUCCUCUCUCACUCUUCCUCCCUCCUCUCUCUCUCUUCCUCCCUCAUCUCUCACUCUUCCUCCCUCCUCUCUCUCUCUUCCUCCCUCCUCUCUCUCUCUUCCUCCCUCCUCUCUCUCUCUUCCUCCCUCAUCUCUCACUCUUCCUCCCUCCUCUCUCUCUCUUCCUCCCUCCUCUCUCUCUCUUCCUCCCUCUUCUCUCUCUCUUCCUCCCUCUUUCGUUUCUUCCUCCCUCUUUCGUUUCUUCCUCCCUUUUACGUUUCUUCCUCCCUCCUCUCCCUCUCUUCCUCCCUCCUCUCUCACUCUUCCUCCCUCUUUCGUUUCUUCCUCUCUCCUCUCUCUCUUCCUCCCUCCUCUCUCUCUCUUCCUCCCUCCUCUCUCUCUUCCUCCCUCCUCUCUCACUUCCUCCCUCCUCUCUCUCUCGUCCUCCCUCCUCUCUCUCUCGUCCUCCCUCCUCUCUCUCUCUUCCUCCCUCCUCUAUCUCUCUCUCUUCCUCCCUCCUCUCUCUCUUCCUCCCUCCUCUCUCUCUUCCUCCCUCCUCUCUCUCUCUUCCUCCCUCUUUCGUUUCUUCCUCCCUCCUCUCUCUCUCUUCCUCCCUCCUCUCUCUCUCUUCCUCCCUCCUCUCUCUCUUCCUCCAUCCUCUCUCUCUCUUCCUCCCUCCUCUCUCUCUCUUCCUCCAUCCUCUCUCACUCUUCCUCCCUCCUCUCUCUCUCUUCCCACCUCCUCUCUCACACUUCCUCCCUCCUCUCUCACUCUUCCUCCCUCCUCUCUCUCUCUUCCUCCCUCUUUCGUUUCUUCCUCCCUCCUCUCUCUCUUCCUCCCUCCUCUCUCUCUCUUCCUCCCUCCUCUCUCUCUCUUCCUCCCUCCUCUCUCACUCUUCCUCCCUCCUCUCUCUCUUCCUCCCUCCUCUCUCUCUCUUCCUCCCUCCUCUCUCUCUCUUCCUCCCUCCUCUCUCACUCUUCCUCCCUCCUCUCUCUCUCUUCCUCC